RNAcentral lists this ribosomal RNA (254 nucleotides) under uncultured bacterium. RNAcentral's name for it is "partial 16S ribosomal RNA". It matches the Rfam family "Bacterial small subunit ribosomal RNA", at positions 524 to 777 of the family's 1533-position model. The record is from RNAcentral.
UACGGAGGGUGCGAGCGUUGUCCGGAAUCACUGGGCGUAAAGGGCGCGUAGGUGGCGACCCAAGUCAACGGUGAAAGCUCGGCGCUUAACGCCGAGUCGGCCGUCGAUACUGGGUGGCUCGAGCACUGUAGAGGCAGAUGGAAUUCCGGGUGUAGCGGUGGAAUGCGUAGAGAUCCGGAAGAACACCGGUGGCGAAGGCGGUCUGCUGGGCAGUUGCUGACACUGAGGCGCGACAGCGUGGGGAGCAAACAGGG